RNAcentral lists this ribosomal RNA (589 nucleotides) under uncultured bacterium. RNAcentral describes it as "partial 16S ribosomal RNA". It matches the Rfam family "Bacterial small subunit ribosomal RNA", at positions 355 to 1375 of the family's 1533-position model. The record is from RNAcentral.
UGGGGAAUCUUCCGCAAUGGACGAAAGUCUGACGGAGCAACGCCGCGUGUAUGAUGAAGGUCUUCGGAUUGUAAAGUACUGUCAUUGGGGAAGAACGGUUUUCUUGAGAAUAUUGAGAAGACAUGACGGUACCCAAGGAGGAAGCCCCGGCUAACUACGUGCCAGCAGCCGCGGUAAUACGUAGGGGGCAAGCGUUGUCCGGAAUUAUUGGGCGUAAAGGGCGCGUAGGCGGGCCUUUAAGUCCGGUGUGAAAGAUCAGGGCUCAACCCUGAGAGUGCAUCGGAAACUGGAGGCCUUGAGGACAGGAGAGGAAAGUGGAAUUCCACGUGUAGCGGUGAAAUGCGUAGAUAUGUGGAGGAACACCAGUGGCGAAGGCGACUUUCUGGACUGUAACUGACGCUGAGGCGCGAAAGCGUGGGGAGCAAACAGGAUUAGAUACCCUGGUAGUCCACGCCGUAAACGAUGAGUGCUAGGUGUAGAGGGUAUCGACCCCUUCUGUGCCGCAGUUAACACAAUAAGCACUCCCGCCUGGGGAGUACGGCCGCAAGGUUGAAACUUAAAUGAAUUGACGGGGUCAUAGCUGUUUCCU